UUUUAAUUCUACAAUAUCAUGAUAUUUCUUAUAAUUUUGGACGUGUUUUGUUAAAAUUGAUUUGGGUUCUUUCGGAUGUUAAUUAGAAAUCGUGGGCUUUGAUCUAAUAGAAGAAAACGAUUUGUAAGAAGUUGAUGAGGUUUUUCUUUGGUUAUUAGUUUAAAGUGUUAGCUUUGUUGUUUGUUGAUUAGGGUUUCACUUGAUUUACUAUCCUGUUCGUGAAAUCUUUAUAGGGAAAUGUAAAUUCUUGAUUGGAACAAUAUAAUUCUGGAAAUUCGAAAGCAAUUUCAUUUAAUGAUGAGUUUUUUUCUCACGGCAUUUUUAUGUUUAAAGCUUGAGAAUUUGAGAUAGCUAGAUACUUGAUCAAGGUUAUAAUCAUUUAAUUAAUGGACUUGAUUCAGACUUUAGAGAUUAGCAUGGUUAUGCACUGUCCAAAACGCAUGUCAUUGUAUUUCUAAGGGAUAAUUUCAGAACCCCCAACAAAAAAAACCAAAAAAAAAAAAAACUUUGGGGGUGUUGUAGAUAAUCCCCUUCAACUACUUUUGACCCGAGAAAACUCCGCUGAACUUUGGGAGUGUUGUGGAUACCCCCCUUGAACUUUUUUUUAUUCUACUAAACCUCCUGAACUUUAGGCUGUCUCACAAAACCCCUGUGAACUUUGAACUUCUCUCACUGGGUGAUUUUUCUUGGUACUCUAUUUGUAUUAUGAACCAAUGAACCCCGUGACAUUGGUCUUACUCUUCGGCUACUAUAGAUUGUACUGCAGAAUCCUAACUACCAUAGUCACUCAUAUGCAUAGUGACAUUGGUAAGAAGCAGACAUUUGCUUAUGUUGAAUUCUUAGUAUGGUGCAGAGAAAUGUAACAAUUUAUACACGAGUUGCAGCUGCCCUUGCUCUAGCUACAGCCUUCUGAUAUAAUUCUUCAUACUGUUUAGCUGAAGAAUCCCAACUGAAAUCUAUUCUCAUUACCUUCUGGACAAUUUAGUUAGCUACUUUCUAGAUAAGAAUGUUAAAAAAGGAAUUAUAGAUACAAAUACUUGAUUUUAGUAAUGAAAGUUUCCAUUCAUUCAUUUGUACAGAUAGCAACCUUAUUAGCUAUUGGCAUAAGUGGCAUGAGAAUGUUACAUGUUGAUUGUUUUUCAUUUCUUAAUACAUAUAUAGAUCUAUUUUCAUGUUGAGUCAAUUUAUAUUCCACUGUAUUAUGUGUUUACUACCAAAAUUGAUGUGCUAUUAAAUUAUUUUUUCAGCGAUCAUGUCUUUAAAUGAUCAAUUUAGCAUCCAUGAUGAUGGUAGUGAUGAUGAGAGUACUUCUAAACGUAAAAGAAGACAAACAUCAAAAGUUUGGGAUCACUUUACGAAGUUAUCUACCGAUAAUGAUGAGAAAACUAAAGUUCAAUGUAAUAUGUGCAAUCAUAUUUAUGUUGGUGGUCAUGGCACUAAGACAAUGUUGAGACACAUGGAUUCUUGCCCGAAAAGGAACUUAGAUGAGGCUGAUUCUUCCAGGAAAAGUAUGCCACUAAAUCAAGAAAAAUAUAGAAAAAUGCUUGCUAGAGUAAUUGCAUUGCAUGGUUAUCCAUUCACUUUUGUCGAACAUCGAGGAAACCAUGAGUUGCAUAGUUUUCUAAAUUCUGAAGUCAAGCAUAUUUCAAGUAACGCUGCUAAAACAGAUUUGAUCAAGUUGUACAAGAAAGAGAAAGGAAAUCUUAAACAAGCUUUAAAGCUAGUUCCUAGUAGAAUUUGUCUAACCACAGAUUUAUGGACUUCUUCCACCUCUGACUACUAUAUGUCUCUCACUGCACAUUAUGUUGAUGACUGUUGGAUAUUGCAGAAUAAGAUAUUAGCUCUAUCUCAUGUUUCACCCCCAUAUAGUGGAGCAAUUUUAGUAGAGAAGUUAUUUCAUUUGUUGAAGGAUUAGGGUAUUGAAAAAAGAAUUUUUACUAUUACCUUGGACAAUGCAUCAUAUAAUGAUGUUUUCAUGAGAAUUUUAAAAUAUCAUCCAGUUUUAGAAGAUCAUUUUGUUAGUAAUGGUGAUUUUUUGCAUGUGCGGUGUUGUGCUCAUAUUCUAAAUAUUGUUGUGCAAGAUGGGCUAAAGGUUAUUGAUAAAUCAUUGUCUAAGAUAAGAGAAUGCAUCAAGUAUGUGAAGAGUCCUCCUGGAAGAAAAAAGAAGUUUGCAGAGUGCAUUGCACAAACUUAUUCAGGUAAAGCGAAAAAAAUUUAGCAGGAUGUGUCCAACAUGUGGAAUUCUACGUUUCUAAUGUUGGAGAGUGUUCUAAACUUUCGUCGAGCAUUUGAGCACUUAGAGUCGAUUGAUCCAAACUUCACUUUUUUGCCAUCAAGUGAAGAAUGGGUAAAGGCUGAAAAAAUUGCAAAGUUUUUAAAACCAUUUUAUGAAGUGUCCACUCUUUUUUCUGGAAGUAAAUAUCCAACUGCCAACUUAUAUUUUGGUGGAGUGUUUAAGAUUCAAAAAUGCAUAAUGGAGGAGAUGAAAAGUGAUGAUCAACAUAUAAAAUCCAUGGCAAAUGACAUGAAAAUAAAAUUUGAUAAAUAUUGGGAAUGCUACAGUGUUAUUUUGUCAUUUGCAGUCAUUUUGGACCCCCGAUACAAGGUGAAGUAUGUAGAGUUUUGCUUUAAGAAAUUGGGAGUUAGUUCUGAUUAUGUGUUGACUAUCUUAGAGAAACUGAGAAGGCUUUACAAAGAAUAUGAGCGAGCAUCUCUAGAUACAUCUGUAGCUGGGAGUAGUGGUGAAGAGAACUUUGGAGAUGUUCCUAAUGAUGAGAUGGUUGAGUUUGAACUGUUUGAGAGUCAACUAUAUUUAGCAAGUAGGUUCAAGUCUCAGUUAGAAGAGUAUCUAGAUGAAAAAUUAGUCAGUUGGAAGAAAAAUGAUCAUUUGAAUGUUCUCGAGUAUUGGAAAGGCGAAUGCGAGAAGCGUCCUCAAUUGUCGAUGAUGGCUCGAGAUAUAUUAAGUAUUCCUAUUACUUCGGUGACCUCUGAAUCGGCUUUCAGCAUUGCGGGACGUGUGCUUGACAAGUAUCGAAAUCGUCUUCUUCCGGAGAAUGCUGAAGCUCAAAUUUGUACUGGUUCUUGGUUAGACGGUAUUCCUUCUCUGGCAGACAUUGAAGAAGGAAAUUUAUUAGUACAUGAUUUCAGUAAUCUAGAGGUUUCUGAAUCGGAAGGCGAAAGUGAUUAAGGUAUGCAUUGCUUAACUGAAGCUGUUCCUGCUGGAUGCUUCUCAAAUUCGAUAAGUAUGGCUACCCUUUGCUGCUGCUGUGUAUUGGAGGAGUGUUGCUGCUUCUGAAACAGGCAGAACGUACCCCUAGUUUCCAAGCUCUGGAAUGAAAUCCCUGCUCCUAUGUUUUCAUAGUCUAUAUACUUGUUACUCGCUUAGCCGGGGAAAAAAUAUAUUGUUGUUUUUUAUGUAGAUCUUGAAAAAACUGCACGGUAAUGUUUAGAGACAUGGUUUAAAGCACAGUUAUGUGUAAAUAUGAUCUUUUAAUCAUGUUCGUGGUGUAAAUAUGUUAAAGUGUGUUAGCU
Asparagus officinalis (garden asparagus) is the source of this 3531-nucleotide RNA transcript. It is a transcript of the gene named zinc finger BED domain-containing protein RICESLEEPER 2-like, with no coding region annotated. The transcript has 4 exons. The record is from RefSeq and is a predicted model, not a curated record. NCBI's taxonomy places the organism in Eukaryota, Viridiplantae, Streptophyta, Magnoliopsida, Asparagales, Asparagaceae.